CCAGCACCCCGAGUGGUCGGGACGAUUAUUGGGCCUAAAGCAUCCGUAGCCGGUUUUACAAGUCCCCCGUUAAAUCCAACUGCUUAACAGAUGGGCCGCGGAGGAUACUAUAAGACUAGGAGGCAGGAGAGGCAAGCGGUACUCAGUGGGUAGGGGUAAAAUCCGUUGAUCCAUUGAAGACCACCAGUGGCGAAGGCGGCUUGCCAGAAUGCGCUCGACGGUGAGGGAUGAAAGCUGGGGGGAGCAAACCGGAUUAGAUACCCGGGUAGUCCCAGCUGUAAACGAUGCAGACUCGGUGAUGGACUAGCUUAAUGCUAGUCCAGUGCCGCAGGGAAGCCGUUAAGUCUGCCGCCUGGGUAGUACGGUCGCAAGACUG
RNAcentral lists this ribosomal RNA (376 nucleotides) under uncultured organism. RNAcentral's name for it is "bacterial SSU rRNA". It matches the Rfam family "Archaeal small subunit ribosomal RNA", at positions 476 to 851 of the family's 1478-position model. The record is from RNAcentral.